RNAcentral lists this long non-coding RNA (4757 nucleotides) under Setaria italica (foxtail millet). Its description in RNAcentral is "long non-coding RNA (SITA_LNC004370)". Lineage: Eukaryota; Viridiplantae; Streptophyta; Magnoliopsida; Poales; Poaceae. The record is from RNAcentral.
UUUUUAGUAACAGAAAUCUGAGGACGCAGACGUGCUGGUACAUGACUUUUGAAGGUAAGCUUGCAUGGUCAACGUAACACUCAAGGAAAAAAUAUGCACGUAACAGAUUUAAUUUGGUAGGGGAUAUCCGUACAAUAGACUAUGCAAUAGUCAACAGAGUUUGAAGAGUCUGCGUGAGUAAAAAUCCCUAUAUAAAUAAAUAAAUAAAUAGUCCCUUGAGAGAUAGGUACGGCCACCAACAGAAACGCAAACUCAUCUCCCUCUUCUCACGCCUCCUCCCUCCUCGACAUGGACAUGGACGGAGCUAAUUCUUUGAUGCCACCCAUCAAUCCUGAUGCACAAGCGCUAAUUCUUUGAUGCCACCCAUCAAUCCUGAUGCACAAGCUCAGGACCAUACACCACCUGCGUAACAAAAGGAGCAUGCACCACCUGCGCGAAUUGAUCCAAUUAAGUUGAAUCUUACCUGCAAGAAUAGAGUUUGUGAUCAAUUUUAUUAAUACGACAUGACAUGAAAAAAAUUAUAUUUAUCCAAAACUUUUAUCAGAUUCAUUCAGCCCAGGGCAACACUAAGGUAGAGCUCAACAUUAAUGAUCCCUUGGAAGAUAACAAAACUGAGGCACCACCAGAUACAUCAACAGAAGGCAGAACAGAGGCGCCAAGAUCUACAAAUAUUCAAAGCGCAUCAACAGACCUGUAAGUCAAUUUGACAUAGCAUCACCGAGCUGAAUUUGUAAGGAUGUAUAAUAUAGUUGUUUCUGACAUGUGUACACCACGUGGUUGUAGCAGCAUGGCCCUUCUGCACACAGCAAUUUUGAGCAGCCAAGCCAGAUCAAGAAGCAACCAAUUUCUACAGCCCGUGUAACUCCCUGCUAUCAAAUCAUGGUCUCUACCAAAAAUAAAAUAUAGUUAGAAACCUAUCGUGUCAAUUACAAAAGAUAACAAAAAUAACACUUUAUUUUCCUUCAGGGUACAUGUAAAUGCUCACAUAAAUUACUAGUAGAGAUUAUGAGCGUAUUCAAUCAAGAACAGAAGGAUGUUGUUGAGAAAGCAGGAUCUGAUUCUUUACUUAAGCUUAAGGAAGUAGAGAUUCGACGCAAGCUAUGCAAGGAGAUUGCGGACAGUUUCGACUUAGACACAAAAGAAUUCAACAUUCAAGGUCAAAAUAUGCAUCAAAGAUGUUGAGCAUAUACUAGGCCUUCCAUCCCAAGGCGAUCCAAAAAAACAUAUACCUGAUUUGUUUGACAAGUACACAUGGAAGGAUUCUACUAAAAUUAAUUACUUGGAGUUGAGGGAAUAUUUCAGCAAGAACAAAAUCUAUGGUGAUGACUUUAUUCGCAUAUUUGUGCUGUACACCAUUGGUUUCUACUUGUGCCCAACACUACAGCCAUACGUCAAAUCAGAUUAUAUUAGGCUCGUUGAAGAAAUUGAUAAUAUCAAGAACCUAAACUGGAGCAUCCUGGUUCUUAAUUUCUUGAUCAGAAGCAUACGGGAAUACAGGGAGGUAAAGGUAGCUAAUCUUAAAGGGAAUCUAACCCUUUUGCAGGUAUGUACAUUGCAUAUACGGAACAAAGAUUCAUAACACUAUGUUUAUAUUCCUAACAAACACAAUUGAAUUUUUUUAACUACAGGUCUGGUACUAGGAGAAGUUGUUUAUGUCUCAUAUGUACCCUACAUUACAACAGCAUGCAGGGGACAAACCACUUAUGCAGUAUUGGGACGAAAAAAGGAGCCAAAGAACGAUGCAAACUAGCACGCAACCAUCAUUUUGGGAAAAGGAAGGUAAAAGUAGAUCGGAUAUUAGUAAUCAUCUCAUUACUUUAUAGAUAUCCCAGCAGCUACUAACAAAAUCCUUCUUUCUAUUUUAUAUCAGAUUGUAUAUGACAUUACAAGUCCUAAAUAUAAGAACUCAUGCUCAGUUUCCCAAUGCCACACAACAACAGAACAAUCUGACUAGGGACAAGCAGAUAGCAAUUCCAAAAAUAUGCAGGAACUUUAAGUGUCCAUUACCAAUCAGUACAGGUUACUAUCAAAUCAAAUUGAUGACAGGUUCAAUGCACUUAACAAGUGGUUCGAUGAUGUCAUAGAAGAACAACAUGUAAGUUUGUUACCAUAUUAUUUGGCAUACCUUCAUUCAUUUCCGAGUUUGACUACCAUCAUUUGCAGCCCUUCUAACCUUGCAAGAAUCAAGGGGAGUGAUACAACCUACAAAUAUCAUGCUCGAGACGUCGGACACACAUAUAGGCAAGCCUGAAAUCAAGAAAAAGGAGGAUAAGCACAACCAAAGCAGCAAGCUACAGCGAGGAAUCCAUUGAAUCGUCAAAAAAAAACCCCAUCCAACAAACAAACGUCGAUUAUGAGUACAAUAUUGGCACAAAACAUCAUCGACCCAACAAGAACAAGGAAAAAGAAGAGAUCCCAGAUGUUGCGAUGCCUUAUAACCACUAUCAACUGAUAGCACGUCAGGUGGUACUACUCUGUGUGAGUUUCUUUACCAUUCCAUAGAUAAUAUUAGUCAUCUAACUAUUAUCUGUAGAGUAUUUGGUCAAUGCAGAUGACUUGUCCACUAUCCAGUAGAUCAAUUCAUCAUCACUGGAUAAAGUUUUGGUUAAUAUUGGUAUUUACACAGCAACAAGAAAAGAUCUAGAGUGCCUUCUCAACAAUGAAAUGUUCCUGAAUGAUUCAGUAAGUAUAUCUCUACAUAAAAAUGUUCUAUUUCAACAUUACAAUCUAAAGAUGUUUAACUUGCAAGUAAAGGUUAUGAAUGCUUAAAUCCGAAUACUAAAAGCAUAACCUACUAUCAAGGAAAGGGAAGAUGGAUAUGCCUACCUAGAGACAACUUACAAUGCCAACAUGAUAUGUGGGGAUAUCAUCGCUUCAUUACGAAAUAAAGAUGAAGGCAACUUCCGUUUAUAUCAGACAUUAAUUUAUCUCAAGCAUGAUAUGGUACAACUUGCAUCCUGUUACAGCUAUGUAAGGUUGAGUUGACAUAGGCAAACAUCUAACGAAGCAAGUUUUUUAGGUCUUCUUUCCAAUCAACAUUAAAACUAGUCAUUGGUAUUUGGCGGUCAUCAAUGGUCGUAAGGGUGUCAUUCAGGUACUUGACUCCAGGGGGACUGCCACUAGCCGGCCUCAAGUACAUCAAUUGGUGAGACACUAAUAAUCUAGUACCGACUACUUAAUAACAAAUUGUACAUGAUUAUCUCAACCACUGAUGAUUAUAUUGAACUCAGUUGCAAGGGUUGCAGAACCGUAUGAAACACCUUGCAGACCUUAAAUUGAUCACAGAACAUAGGUGAAAGGACACCCAAGUCAAAGAAUGGCCAGUCAUUGAAUGCGUCAAUAAGAAAAUCCAGAUUGACAAGUACAAUGCACAUCAACACUUCUCAAUAUACUCUAGUCCCCAUAAUUAGUACUUCCUAGCUUGUGUAAAUACCAAAUAAUCUCGCAGCGCAUCGUGUGGACUAUUCAACGUGAAAUUCAUGGAGCUUUGGACUGGAAACAGGUUAUCUUCCUUAUUCACGCAAGUAAUUUGAGCAAUACAGAUUCAGCAACCCAAUCUAUACCCCAUCUUACAUUAUAGCUAACAAGCACUUGUAUUUGUUAUGCACCGUAUUUGUUAUGCACCGAAGGAUAUGGCUAAUUUUAGGCUCAAGCUAGCUGUCACAUUGGUUAACUAUGCGUGGAACAAAGUGAAAGGACUAGCGAUGCCGAGGAGACCUACAUGCUGGAAGAUAAUGAAAAAUAGAUUAAAUUUCAUUUUUUUCGUGUUUACUUCCUUAUAUAGGAUGAUCGAAUAUUCCAAUCCAAUCACGUUCUUUUCAUAUCUAUGAUCAACAAACAAUGACACAGUUCUAGUUCCUAAAUAUCAAGGAUUAUACUUAACUUACUUUAUUAUGAUCAAAUAAAUGGUACAAAGCUACCAGCGCACUGUGACAGUACGACAAAUGGAACUAAAAGAAUGGUCUUAGUUCAUUCAGCAGCAUGUUUUCCUUUCCGCACUCACUAUGGAGAUGGUAACUACAGAAACUAAUCCAACACAUUAAUGGAAUCCCUUGAGCACAAAACAAGCAUCUUUUGUGCUUUCUAUCAUACUAAAUGAUAUAGAGGUAUUUAGAAAUAAUCAUGUACCAAUCUCCCCGGUAAUAGAAAAGAAUAUGGUACUAAUCUUUUUUGACAUCAUGAAAUCAACCUAGGAACUAUGGAUCAAAAUGAUAAACGAAAAUGAGGAGACAUAUGAAUCUCAUUUUUAAACUAACAAAUCCUUGCUAUGACAAGCAAUAUCCAACAAGCAUACACAAUUAUAAGUCAAACAUCACCGCUAUGACAAUCGAUUCAAUGUGAAGGAGCACUUACUCUUGCAUCUAAGACCUUGACCGGCGCAGGCCGUUCCGUCAGUGGCUAGGUUUCCCCACCGCGUUGCCUCUAUUGCCUUUCCGUCCACGGCCGAUGGCACAUCUAGCGAAUGCAUCCGGCCCACCCCGACCCAGGAAUCGGACGCUUGCCACCACUUGCUGUCCUCCCUCGCCGCUCGCUGCUGCUCACGCGGACCUGCCACGGCUGGUGCCUUGACCUCGCGCUGGGGCUGCAUGCCGAUGUUCGCUCGCGCGACGAAGCCCUGCCCCAAACCAGUCGCACCAGCCCGGGCCGCCACCGCCGCCUGUUGCCACCUCUUACCCUGGCGUGGACCCACCCUGCUGGGACCCACCCUGGUGGCCGGUGGCUAAUCCUCGCGGGGCCGCGUCGAUGCGGGAGGGAGA